AUUUUGGAUGCAAUUUUAAACUUAAACCUCAACCCUAAAGGACCAGAGUGGGACAUCUGAUAGCAUCAUAAUGUCUUAUGAGCGGAUUCUGGCAAUCCAAAAUCUGAACGAUGUUCAAAAUCCAUGGAAGGGGGUGACUAUGAACCGCUGCAUAGUGCUGGCACUGGUUGUACUGCUUGUGAGUUCAGGGGUCAAUGAAUUGCACGAGACUCUGGAUUCCCUUGUUGAGGACAAAUCUUUAAGCUCUUUUUUGGGAAGUCUGCAAGACGGUUCAAUGAUUAAGAUUUCUGUAUGGGACAAUGUCAUGAGUUGGUGGGGAUCUGAAGAAGUUGGAGCGAUAAGAAAAAGAAAAAAGCCGAUCGGCAAUAAAGUAAUCAUGAAACCCAAAACUAAAGAAUGAAUUUUAAUACAGCUAAUUC
This is a long non-coding RNA of Scomber japonicus (chub mackerel), 419 nucleotides long. RefSeq lists it as uncharacterized. The transcript has 4 exons. The record is from RefSeq and is a predicted model, not a curated record. NCBI's taxonomy places the organism in Eukaryota, Metazoa, Chordata, Actinopteri, Scombriformes, Scombridae.